GCUCCAGUGGCCUAGUGGUUAGAGCAUUCGUCUCGGAUGCGGAAGGUCGUGGGUUCGAUCCCCGGUCGAGUCA
Non-coding RNA from Potamilus streckersoni, 73 nucleotides. The record is from the annotation of a GenBank genome assembly. NCBI's taxonomy places the organism in Eukaryota, Metazoa, Mollusca, Bivalvia, Unionida, Unionidae.